AAUGGCUGGUGUUGUGUCUGUUUUCCCUAGUGGGAAGCAGAAGCUCCACACAACAAGGUCAUGGAACUUCAUCGGGUUUCAUGAAAAUGUGAAGAGAAGCACAGUUGAAAGCGAUAUCAUUGUUGGGGUGAUUGACUCUGGAGUUUGGCCGGAAUCUUCUAGCAUCAGUGAUGCCGGGUUCGGUCCACCUCCCAAAAAAUGGAAAGGCACAUGCCAAGGCUCAUCCAAUUUUACUUGCAACAAGUAGGGCUAAUAUACUAGACCUGUCAUGAUGCUAGUGGUUUAGGGUUGACUUUUGCUCUUGGAGGGUUUGGAAAAAUUUCUUGGCUCCAUUACGUAAUGCAUGAGCUCACGAAUUCAUAGACACGUAGUGGCCCCAAAUCAGAGUUAAAAUGAGAAAGUUACGAUCAAAAGAAGUGUAAGUGCAUGAUCGUAAUUUUUGCAAAUUAAGUGUUAAAAAGUCAGAUUUUUUCUUUCCUUCCCUCAUUUCUCUCUCCUCCCUUCCGAUUCUUCCUCUCUCGCGACUCUUCUUCUCGACAGUCACUAUUUGCUGUUCGUAUUCUCUGGUGAAUUUUGUCGCCGUCCGGUCGUUCCAAGCGACGCCACCACCCACAAAAGCUUUGUCUAAGUCUCCUCUACCUAACCCAUCCCUCAAUCGAACUCAAAAACCCGAAGAAUAGUCGGAUUUUGGACUGAAACAAACUCAAUAACCUCCACCUGACGCCAACGACUGAUUUUGUCGAAUAAGGCACUCAGACUUCACGUGCUCAAUCAGAGGGACCUUCAAAGGGUCAAGCAAGCUUGGACUCACAAUGAGUGGACAUUUAUUUUAUAAUGAUUUUUCAUACUAUGAUGGUUUUAUGAAACGCUUUAUGAACAGAUUAUUUAUGGUAUUUACUUUCCGAACAUUUGAUUUUGGUUAAGAAAAGGUUAUAUUAUUAUUAUUAUUGAUAAGUGAGAUUAGUUCAAGAAAUUGAGAAUGAUUUGAGAACUGGAUUUGAGAAAAGUUUUGGAAAAGUUUUCAAAACCACCUAGUUAUCCUUUGGUUGCCUUCGGAUUUUAUGAUGUCCUCGGACAUCUCAGUUGCUUUCAGGAAAUGGUUUGUCUUCGGACGAUUUGGUUAUCUUUGGAUAAGUCUGUGCACGUAUGACCAUGCGCCAAGAGUCUCAGGGAUGUCAGAGCCGUGUGCUGCGAGGAAUGCGUCUCAGGAUGUAUCACACAUGUGGCCACAUGUGUGAUACCUGGAAUUGAUGGUACACUGUUGGAAUUGACGGAUUUUCUAUGGGAUACAUCUGGGUGGAAAGUAUUUACAGUUUGAGAAAUUAUUUUAUUUUGAAAUUAGUGAUUUGUCCUUUGUUUGAUAUAUUAUGCUUAUGUAUGAAUCUUAUUUGCUUGUACGAACAUAGCAUAAAUUAUAACUGGUUUGCCAAUAGUUUUUAAAUGGUGGGGUUAACAUGUUCUUACUAUGUUUAACACUUAAUUUUUUGUCUACUCACACUUUCUUUGUUUUGCGCCUCCUUCCAGGCAGUAGACGAGUACCAGACAACCACUUGAGGGCCUUCCACCAUCAACCACUUUUCCUUCUUCUCUCUCGUGUAGGCGUUUACUUUGUUGUAAAUAAUUUUCUGACUGUAAACUUAACUGAAAUAGUUAUGCUCUAAUAUAGUCCAGAAUCCCUGUAAGGCUUGAAGUCAACCGAAAUAGCUAUUUUGUAUGUGAACUUAACUUGUGCGUGCUGAA
This is a long non-coding RNA of Prunus avium (sweet cherry), 1740 nucleotides long. RefSeq lists it as uncharacterized. The record is from RefSeq and is a predicted model, not a curated record. Lineage: Eukaryota; Viridiplantae; Streptophyta; Magnoliopsida; Rosales; Rosaceae.